CUGCUGCCUCCCGUAGGAGUCUGGUCCGUGUCUCAGUACCAGUGUGGGGGACCUUCCUCUCAGAACCCCUACGCAUCGUCGCCACGGUGGGCCGUCACCCCGCCGUCUAGCUAAUGCGCCGCAUGCCCAUCCGCCACCGGAUCGCUCCUUUGGCCACCGGAGGAUGCCCUCCGGUGGCGUCACGGGGUAUUAGGCCGCGUUUCCGCGGGUUAUCCCCCUGUGGCGGCCAGGUUGCAUACGUGUUACUCACCCGUGCGCCGGUCGCCGGCGGG
Molecule: ribosomal RNA, 272 nt
Filed under: uncultured bacterium
Lineage: Bacteria
Description: partial 16S ribosomal RNA
Source: RNAcentral